Cryptomeria japonica (Japanese cedar) is the source of this 408-nucleotide long non-coding RNA. RefSeq lists it as uncharacterized. The transcript has 2 exons. The record is from RefSeq and is a predicted model, not a curated record. NCBI's taxonomy places the organism in Eukaryota, Viridiplantae, Streptophyta, Pinopsida, Cupressales, Cupressaceae.
AAGUCGUGGAGCAUGGAAAUUAUUUGAUGUUGAAGUAUAACCUACUGAGGUAACAUGCACACGACAUUCGACUUUGCCAAUUGACCGCUCAAGGAAGUCGCCGACUAUCAAUUUGAAUACAACUCCGACUAAUUCUCUAAGUAAGAUUAAAGGAACACUUCCGAAUCCUUCACUUUUUUAUCCAAAAGCUUGUACUGCUAUUAAAAUCUAUUAAAAGUAAGGCACAAUGUUGCCGAGCUCGAUAAUGAGGACUCUCCUCAUAUGUGUUUGCAUGACCAUCCUGUACAACUCAAUCUCUGGAGAUUGUAACAAAGCAGCAGUGAGAAAUGCUCUGAUACGAGACAACAAUUUGGCUGAGGAAGAGGAAGUGGUGAUUUAUUUGGUACUGAUUUAUCAAGCUCAUUUUUU